UGAGUCUCCUGAAGGAACGUUGAAGACGACGACGUUGAUAGGCCGGGUGUGUAAGCGCAGCGAUGCGUUGAGCUAACCGGUACUAAUGAACCGUGAGGCUUAACCUUACAACGCCGAAGCUGUUUGG
This 127-nucleotide ribosomal RNA is filed under the name Salmonella enterica. RNAcentral describes it as "partial 23S ribosomal RNA". The stretch from base 1 to 107 matches the Rfam family "Bacterial large subunit ribosomal RNA", at positions 2819 to 2925 of the family's 2925-position model. The record is from RNAcentral. Lineage: Bacteria; Pseudomonadati; Pseudomonadota; Gammaproteobacteria; Enterobacterales; Enterobacteriaceae.